This 489-nucleotide ribosomal RNA is filed under the name uncultured bacterium. RNAcentral's name for it is "bacterial SSU rRNA". It matches the Rfam family "Bacterial small subunit ribosomal RNA", at positions 23 to 507 of the family's 1533-position model. The record is from RNAcentral.
CUCAGAUUGAACGCUGGCGGCAGGCCUAACACAUGCAAGUCGAGCGGUAGAGGGAAGCUUGCUUCUCUUGAGAGCGGCGGACGGGUGAGUAAUGCCUAGGAAUCUGCCUAGUGGUGGGGGAUAACGUCGGAAACGGACGCUAAUACCGCAUACGUCCUACGGGAGAAAGCGGGGGACCUUCGGGCCUCGCGCCAUUAGAUGAGCCUAGGUCGGAUUAGCUAGUUGGUGAGGUAAUGGCUCACCAAGGCGACGAUCCGUAACUGGUCUGAGAGGAUGAUCAGUCACACUGGAACUGAGACACGGUCCAGACUCCUACGGGAGGCAGCAGUGGGGGAAUAUUGGACAAUGGGCGAAAGCCUGAUCCAGCCAUGCCGCGUGUGUGAAGAAGGUCUUCGGAUUGUAAAGCACUUUAAGUUGGGAGGAAGGGUAGUAACUUAAUACGUUGCUACUUUGACGUUACCGACAGAAUAAGCACCGGCUAACUUCGUG